This 460-nucleotide ribosomal RNA is filed under the name uncultured bacterium. Its description in RNAcentral is "partial 16S ribosomal RNA". It matches the Rfam family "Bacterial small subunit ribosomal RNA", at positions 338 to 795 of the family's 1533-position model. The record is from RNAcentral.
CCUACGGGAGGCUGCAGUGAGGAAUAUUGGUCAAUGGGCGCGAGCCUGAACCAGCCAAGUAGCGUGAAGGAUGACUGCCCUACGGGUUGUAAACUUCUUUUAUAAAGGAAUAAAGUGAGGCACGCGUGCCUUAUUGUAUGUACUUUAUGAAUAAGGAUCGGCUAAUUCCGUGCCAGCAGCCGCGGUAAUACGGAGGUUCCGAGCGUUAUCCGGAUUUAAUGGGGUGAAAGGGUGCGUAGAUGGGUUGUUAAGUCAGUUGUGAAAGUUUGCGGCUCAACCGUAAAAUUGCAAUUGAUACUGGCAGCCUUGAGUACAGUAGAGGUAGGCGGAAUUCGUGGUGUAGCGGUGAAAUGCUUAGAUAUCACGAAGAACUCCGAUUGCGAAGGCAGCUUACUAAACUGCCACUGACAUUGAUGCUCGAAAGUGUGGGUAUCAAACAGGAUUAGAUACCCCUGUAGUC